UACGAAGGGGGCUAGCGUUGCUCGGAAUCACUGGGCGUAAAGGGUGCGUAGGCGGGUCUUUUAAGUCAGGGGUGAAAUCCUGGAGCUCAACUCCAGAACUGCCUUUGAUACUGAGGAUCUUGAGUUCGGGAGAGGUGAGUGGAACUGCGAGUGUAGAGGUGAAAUUCGUAGAUAUUCGCAAGAACACCAGUGGCGAAGGCGGCUCACUGGCCCGAUACUGACGCUGAGGCACGAAAGCGUGGGG
Molecule: ribosomal RNA, 244 nt
Filed under: uncultured bacterium
Lineage: Bacteria
Description: partial 16S ribosomal RNA
Rfam family: Bacterial small subunit ribosomal RNA
Source: RNAcentral